AGAAUGAACGCUGGCGGCGUGCUUUACUCAUGCAAGUUGAGCGAGGCCACCCGCAAGGGUGAGUCGAGCGGCGAACGGGUGAGUAACGCGUGGAUAACCUGCCCUGAAGUGGGGAAUAACCCGGGGAAACUCGGGCUAAUACCGCAUGAUACCGAGAGGUCAAGGAGGGCUCGCAAGAGCUCUUGCUGCAGGAGGGGUCCGCGUUCGAUUAGCUAGUUGGUAGGGUAAUGGCCUACCAAGGCGACGAUCGAUAGCCGGCCUGAGAGGGUGAGUCGGACCGACGACUGGAACUGAGACACGGUCCAGACUCCUACGGGAGCAGCAGUGGGAAUUUGCGCAAUGGGCUAACGCCUGACGCAGCAACGCCGCGUGGAGAUGAAGGUCUUGGAUUGUAAACUCCUGUCAGACGAAGGAAAAGGAGUUAGACCGUAAUACGUCGAUGACUUGUAUUGUACCUGACAGAGGACGGCCCCG
Molecule: ribosomal RNA, 474 nt
Filed under: uncultured soil bacterium
Lineage: Bacteria
Description: bacterial SSU rRNA
Rfam family: Bacterial small subunit ribosomal RNA
Source: RNAcentral